AUUGAACGCUGGCGGCAGGCUUUACACAUGCAAGUCGAACGGCAACAGGCCAAGGGCUUCUUACUACGGGCGGAGGGUUGCGUAAUGCAGCGGAACAUAUCCGAAUCUGCGUGUUAAUGCAGCGAAAGGUAGGCUAAUAUCCCCUGUUAUCUCAUAAGGAAUACGGGGGACCGAGCAGGAACUUUUGGCCUCGCGCCAUUGGAUCAGCCGAUGUCGGAUUAGCUAGUUGGCGGGGUAAAGGCCCACCAAGGCGACGAUCCGUAGCUGGUCUGAGAGGAUGACCAGCCACACUGGGACUGAGACACGGUCCAGACUCCUACGGGAGGCAGCAGUGGGGAAUUUUGGACAAUGGGCGCAAGCCUGAUCCAGCCAUGCCGCGUGGGGGAAGAAGGCCUUCGGGUUGUAAAGCGCUUUUGGUAGGAAAGAAAAGGAGUCCGCUAAUACCGCGCGGUUAUGACGGUACCCAAAGAAUAAGCACCGGCUAACUACGUG
RNAcentral lists this ribosomal RNA (492 nucleotides) under uncultured bacterium. RNAcentral's name for it is "partial 16S ribosomal RNA". It matches the Rfam family "Bacterial small subunit ribosomal RNA", at positions 30 to 507 of the family's 1533-position model. The record is from RNAcentral.